RNAcentral lists this long non-coding RNA (566 nucleotides) under Sus scrofa (pig). Its description in RNAcentral is "lncRNA (ENSSSCG00025042455.1, ENSSSCG00030051074.1, ENSSSCG00070006045.1)". Lineage: Eukaryota; Metazoa; Chordata; Mammalia; Artiodactyla; Suidae. The record is from RNAcentral.
GUCCAAUAGUGGGUUUUGCCUGUUUGUUUUUGUUUGUCUUGGCAUUCUCACCUAUUUUCCUCACAGGACUCAGACAAAAGCAAUAUUUGAUUACAUUGCGUGCAAAGAAACUUGGGUAAAUAAUAGUGACAGCAAGGAAUCAAAGGACUGUUAAAGCUCUGAUGUAUGAGCUGCUUGGGCACUGUGAGAUGUUUUAAGAUUAUUCAACAAGGAAAUGACAGGAAAUUUAUCCAAGUGAGCUAUAGUCCUACUUUUGGAAAACACUGAGUCCCCUGAGGAUGAAUCAUUGCUUCGCAUAGAACAACCUAAUUAUGAUGAGCAAAAUGAUAUGAUUGUUACAAGAUCAAAGAGAGAAACUGGUCUUGGGAGGUGGAUGGCUGGGGAACAGUCAUGGAAGAGCAACAUUGCUAAACAUAAUAAGAUCAUGUAAAAAGAAAUUUUGAAACAAAAUAUUGCUUAGGGGUGGGUGGAUGGAUUUUUGGAAAAACAAUAAGGAGAGAUAUUACCAUGGCAGAUAUUUAAUCAAGACACAAAAAAGUAAAUAAAACAAAUAUAUUUUCCCCUCA